This 56-nucleotide transfer RNA is filed under the name Ovis aries (sheep). It matches the Rfam family "tRNA", at positions 8 to 63 of the family's 71-position model. From Rfam's summary of the family: Transfer RNA (tRNA) molecules are approximately 80 nucleotides in length. Their secondary structure includes four short double-helical elements and three loops (D, anti-codon, and T loops). The record is from Rfam by way of RNAcentral. Lineage: Eukaryota; Metazoa; Chordata; Mammalia; Artiodactyla; Bovidae.
UGGCUCAGAUGGUAAAGCGUCUGCCUACAAUGCGGAAGACCAGGGUUCGAUCCCUG